Ribosomal RNA from Mustela putorius furo (domestic ferret), 116 nucleotides. The record is from Ensembl. NCBI's taxonomy places the organism in Eukaryota, Metazoa, Chordata, Mammalia, Carnivora, Mustelidae.
GUCUAUGGCCAUACCACUCUGAACGCACCCCAUCUCGUCUGAUCUUGGAAGCUAAGCAGGGUCAGGUCUAAUUAGUACUUGGAUGGGAGAACAAUUAGAGAAAGCAGCUGAAGAAC